UCAUUUCUAUUUCUCCAUCUUCACAUUCCAAAGGGUCAGAUUUCAGUACAUAAUACUCAGCCCAUAUAUAGAGCAUAAGUAAGAACAACUUAUUCAGAGGAUUCAAUUACUGGGCAUUCUGCUUCUUUCUUCUAGCGCAUCUCACAACUUCAUCUUUUUCCCCCAUAAUUAACCUGAGACAAGCAUCAUGGCCAUGAAUUAUC
Long non-coding RNA from Pezoporus flaviventris, 203 nucleotides. RefSeq lists it as uncharacterized. Lineage: Eukaryota; Metazoa; Chordata; Aves; Psittaciformes; Psittacidae. The transcript is spliced from 2 exons. The record is from RefSeq and is a predicted model, not a curated record.